AUUGAACGCUGGCGGCAUGCUUUACACAUGCAAGUCGAACGGCAGCGCGGGCUUCGGCCUGGCGGCGAGUGGCGAACGGGUGAGUAAUACAUCGGAACGUGCCCAGUAGUGGGGGAUAGCUCGGCGAAAGCCGGAUUAAUACCGCAUACGACCUGAGGGUGAAAGCGGGGGAUCUUCGGACCUCGCGCUAUUGGAGCGGCCGAUGGCAGAUUAGCUAGUUGGUGGGGUAAAGGCCUACCAAGGCGACGAUUGGUAGCUGGACUGAGAGGACGACCAGCCACACGGGGACUGAGACACGGCCCAGACGCCUACGAGAGGCAGCAGUGGGGAAUUUUGGACAAUGGGCGAAAGCCUGAUCCAGCAAUGCCGCGUGUGUGAUGAAGGCCUUCGGGUUGUAAAGCACUUUUGGCGGGAACGAAAAGGACUGUGCCAAUACCACGGUUCGAUGACGGUACCCGCAGAAUAAGCACCGGCUAACUACGUG
This 484-nucleotide ribosomal RNA is filed under the name uncultured bacterium. RNAcentral's name for it is "partial 16S ribosomal RNA". It matches the Rfam family "Bacterial small subunit ribosomal RNA", at positions 29 to 507 of the family's 1533-position model. The record is from RNAcentral.